This 886-nucleotide long non-coding RNA is filed under the name Sus scrofa (pig). RNAcentral's name for it is "lncRNA (ENSSSCG00055022272.1)". The record is from RNAcentral. Lineage: Eukaryota; Metazoa; Chordata; Mammalia; Artiodactyla; Suidae.
AUUUUUUUGAAGUAUAGUUGGUUUACAAUGUUGUGAUAAUUUCUGUUGUACCCCAAAUUGAUUCAGGUAUACAUGUAUACACAUCCAUUCUUUCUCAGAUUUUUUUCCCACAUAAAUUAUCACAGACUAUUGGGUAGAGUUCUCUGUGCUAUAUACAUUGCAGAAAGCAAUGCUCAGAAUGUAUAAGUAACUUGGAAAAUGUUCCAAAUGGAUGACUGCCCAUAUCUAAUAACAUGCAAAAAUCAAAUCAGUGUUAUUUCAAAUACCCUAUGACUGUCACCUCACCAGGGCAGAUAAUAGUACAAGAAAUCAUAUACAGAGCAUUACUACUAUUAGAACUCCACCUUAUCUCUCACCCACCACCUUUACCUAAUAAGGGAAAAAAAUAAAGUAUGUCUGACGGAUUAUUUGUUUCACUUUUUGUGUUUACUGUUUUUAUUAGACUAGGAGAUACCAUAUCUCUAGCACAACUCAAAUUGAUAAAUUUACACAAAGAUUUAUAGAAGUUGCAAAAUACUGAACAGUAUUCCCUUCUACUUAUCUCUCUCCAGUGAUCAUAGAAAUCCACAUUCCAGUGUGAAUGCUACAGAAGUGCUGUCACGGGAGUUGAGGAUACAGAAACUCAAGCUCCCACGGUUUGAAGAAGCAAUGUGGGCAUCUGCUUCACAAAGCUAAACUUAACUUGUUCUCCCUCCUUCCAUGAAUGCUGGAGUGUUCUGAUGCUAAGUUUUUUGUUAGAUUUGGGGAAACACAUAGAAAACUUCCAGAGACAUCAAUUCAAAAAGAGAACCAGCAACAGGAGAUAACCAUUGACUUGGCUACUAUGAUUUCCAGCUGCAGUUUUUACAUGUAUGAUACAGAUUUAUUUUCUAUUACUUCUGAUUGA